UUUUUUUUUUUUUUUUUUUUUUGUUAUUUUGUUACCACAGCUACAUACCCUGAAAAAUACACUACAGGAGAGUAAUAAAAAUUGAACAUUUAUUCUGAACAAAGAUGCUUGAAUAACCUUCCUUAAGCACCAUCCUCAAUAGUAAUUUUGAUUUAUCUGAUUGAAUUUCAGUAAAGUUUAAUAGCCAGUGUUCAUAAUGAUGACCAUUAGUCAUCAAAGAAAAGGUUAAUGCUCCAUAUUCCCUUUAUAAGAAGAAGGACAGUUAUUUGAUAUGUUUUAGAGAAUUUAAUUUAAAAUCAAUCAAAUGCAAAGGGUUUUGGGGUUUAUCAGAGCAGUACUAAAUCUCUCUGGAAAAUUUAACUAACCAUAACAGUGAAAUUUUUUUGAUAGUUCUUAACAAUUAAAAUUUCAUUAGAUCAUGCUUUGAGGGACAUCUUUUAAAAAUUACUCCAUAAAGGUUAGUAAUAAUUGGUGUAAUUGGAAAUUCCAAAGUCUUCUGGGGUCAAGAAGUAAUAUAAAUGUGUGAAUCAGAGGGGUGCUAGACAUAAGGAGUAGCGCGAGUUGGGAUAUCGUUUUCUGGAGAAUAUAUGCCCAGUAUAAAGUAUUAACAUUCAAAACAUUUUAAAUGCUGUUCUGAGGCUAUGAUGAAGUAACUGGAAUGAGAUCUACCCUCCAGCCAUAAACAACUAGAAAACUAGAUAAAGUUUAUAAGUAGACAAAGUUUCAUAUAUUGGAAAACAGGCAGCACAGGAUCGUGGUCUAUGAAAGAGAGAAAACACUAUCUUUCCGGCUUUCUUCUUAGAAGCCCUUUCCAGACAGUGCUCCAGGGAGGGGCAUCUGACACACAGCAUGGCAAGUAAGGGAACAGAGAUUGGAGCUCAGGAAGCCUAUGUUGGCUAGCAUUUUGAAAGCAGAAUGAUUAUAAGGGGAAAACUGCACAAAGAUCUCCAGAAAUCUUUAGAGUACCUUUGCAUAAAGCAUACAUCUUACAUGGCCAGGAAAAUGACAACUUGGGAAAGGUAAUAACCAAACAGUUCCCAGAACUCACAGAGGGCUAAGCCACAUUUGAGUCCUAGCCAGUCAGAGUGGAGGAGCCGGAUUGAACACACUGGGGCAUUCGGUGGAAACCCUGGAGAGAUUACGCUUUUGUAGGGGAGCUAAACUAACACUAGAGCAAAGUAUACCGUACAUUUGCCUUAACAGACUUAAAAUAUUCAAAAGGAACAAGUGGCUUGUCAGAACAAAGUCCAACACUCUAAAAAUAUACAAGAUAAAAUCCAACCUCCCCAAAUAAUGUCAAGCAUUUAAUUAAAAAACUAGAUCUGUCAUAAAACUGGACAGUGUAACACAUUAUCAGAAGAAAAAUUAGUUAAUGGAAACAGAGAGACAAAAUAAUAAGCUUAGUAAGCAAGGACUUAAAAAAAUCUUUUUAAAAUAUGCUAGAAGGGCCAGGCAUAGUGGCUCACGCCUGUAAUACCAGCAACUUUGGGAGUCAGAGGCAGGCAGAUCACCUGAGAUCAGGAGUUCGAGAUCUGUCUGGCCAACAUGGCAAAACCUGUUUCUACUAAAAAUACAAAAAAUUAGUCGUGUGUGGUGACGCAUGCCUGUAGUCCCAGCAACUGGGGAGGCUGAGGCAGGAGAAUCACUUGAACCCGGGAGGCAGAGGUUGCAGUGAGCCAAGAUUGCUCCAUUGCACUCCAGCCUGGGUGACAUGAGUGAAACUCUGUCUCAAAAAAAGAAAAAAAAGAAAAGAAAAGAAAUAUAUAUAUAUGCUAGAAGAAUUAAAAGGAGAUUAACAUUAUGA
Molecule: long non-coding RNA, 1804 nt
Filed under: Macaca fascicularis (crab-eating macaque)
Lineage: Eukaryota; Metazoa; Chordata; Mammalia; Primates; Cercopithecidae
Description: lncRNA (ENSMFAG00000050564.1)
Source: RNAcentral